MicroRNA precursor from Oryza sativa Japonica Group (Japanese rice), 187 nucleotides. It matches the Rfam family "MIR812 microRNA precursor family". Lineage: Eukaryota; Viridiplantae; Streptophyta; Magnoliopsida; Poales; Poaceae. The record is from Rfam.
AAAAAGGCAAACCCUGAGUUUCCGUGUCCAACUUUAACUGUCCGUUUUAUAUAUUUUUUUAUAAUUCGUAUUUUCAUUGUUGUUAGAUGAUAAAACAUGAUUAAUAUUUUAUGCGUGACUUGUCUUUUUAAUUUUUUUCAUAUUUUUUUCAAAUAAGACGGACUGUCAAACAUUGGACACGGAAACC